Molecule: long non-coding RNA, 547 nt
Organism: Anguilla anguilla (European eel)
Lineage: Eukaryota; Metazoa; Chordata; Actinopteri; Anguilliformes; Anguillidae
Exons: 3
Source: RefSeq, a predicted model, not a curated record
GCCCCUGCUCCUUUUUUGCAGACCAGCAUGCAAUAGCUUCGUUGUUUAUCCACUACUAAUUAAUAGCUCCGUGGCCGUGGUAGGUAACUAAGUUCUGGAACUGUGUCAAGGGUAUGUCUCCAAGGGCAAUUCUAUAGCAAAUCCUACCUGUAAGUCUGCAAGCAGGAUGAAGAAGGGGUGUUGCUAUAGAGCUUUUACUGAUCGAGAGGUCUCAGGAAGACACCGCAGACUGUGCUCUCAGGGCACAGUCGGGGCAGAUGUGUCCAGCAGAGGGAUAUUAAGUGCAAAAAAUUGCUGGCCCAGAUUGGCAGCUUGGAUGUCAAACUUUCAGCUAUGGGACACACCCUCUACAAAGAAUUUUUAGGAAAAUGCAUCUCUAGAUCUGACCUCAUUAGACAAAGGACAGUUAGCAAAGUGAUAAUCACAGUGGUGUCACAUUCACUGUAGUCUAUAUUCGUGAAUAUAACUCUUAGGUCAUAUGAGGAAGGAAUUCAGAGCGCAUAAUUUAACAUAUUAAUGUUUGUAGCUUUCAUUUUCUAUCAGUAGA